RNAcentral lists this ribosomal RNA (253 nucleotides) under uncultured bacterium. RNAcentral describes it as "partial 16S ribosomal RNA". It matches the Rfam family "Bacterial small subunit ribosomal RNA", at positions 524 to 776 of the family's 1533-position model. The record is from RNAcentral.
UACGAAGGGGGCUAGCGUUGUUCGGAAUUACUGGGCGUAAAGCGUAUGUAGGCGGAUCUUUAAGUCAGGGGUGAAAUCCCGAGGCUCAACCUCGGAACUGCCUUUGAUACUGGGGAUCUUGAGUCCGGGAGAGGUGAGUGGAACUGCGAGUGUAGAGGUGAAAUUCGUAGAUAUUGGGAAGAACACCGGUGGCGAAGGCGGCUCACUGGCCCGUAACUGACGCUCAGGCGCGAUAGCGUGGGGAUCAAACAGG